Molecule: microRNA precursor, 83 nt
Filed under: Neotoma lepida (desert woodrat)
Lineage: Eukaryota; Metazoa; Chordata; Mammalia; Rodentia; Cricetidae
Description: mir-184 microRNA precursor family
Rfam family: mir-184 microRNA precursor family
Source: Rfam by way of RNAcentral
CCAGCCAUCUUUCCUUAUCACUUUUCCAGCCAGCUUUGUGACUCUAAGUGUUGGACGGAGAACUGAUAAGGGUAGGUGAUUGG